Molecule: small nucleolar RNA, 122 nt
Filed under: Echinops telfairi (small Madagascar hedgehog)
Lineage: Eukaryota; Metazoa; Chordata; Mammalia; Afrosoricida; Tenrecidae
Description: Small nucleolar RNA SNORA61 (ENSETEG00000026510.1)
Source: RNAcentral
CCCCUCCAGGUUCCUUGCCGCUCUGAUCUAAAUAUUGGUCUGAAUGGCUCAAAAAGGGAAGAAAAAUAAAAUUAAAGUGGAUUUGUAGACUUAAGGGACAUAUAAGCUCAUUUCAAACAUAU